UACUGUGAUAGGCCAACAGACGCGUUGGAACUACGUCAUCACGGUAUAAGAACAGCUGUUUACGUACUUCCUGCCAGUUCCCUGUUUUACCCUGCGCGGUGAUACGGCGAACCUGUAUAUACGAAAAUUGCAUUUGCCAUUUAUUGUUUGCGUUAAACAUAAUUAAAGAAAGUUAGCAGACCUUGCUUUUUAUUUAUCCGGAUUUGAUUAACGCAGCGCUUUCACAUUUGCUAAAAUAAUCCAGGUGUGGCAUAUCAAAAAGCUGAUUAAAGACAAGGCCAUUCUAAAAUGUGCAGUUGUCUCAAGUUGAGGGAGCGUGCAAUUGCCAUGCUGAUAGCAGGAAUGUUCACCGGAGCUGUUGCCUGAGAAUUUAACUACAAUGAGCCGCUUCUAACGUCAUUUUAGAGAAUUUGGCAGUACGUCCAACCCGCCUCACAACCGAAGACGUGUAUGGCGUUAUGUGGGCGAGCGUUUUGCUGAUGUCACCGUUGUGAAAAGAGUGCCCCAUGGUGUCGGUGGAGUUAUGGUACGGGCAGGCAUAAACUAUGGACAACCAUCACAAUUGCAUUUUUAUCAAUGGCAAUUUGAAUGCACAGAAAUACCGUGACGAGAUCCUGAGACACAUUGUGCGGCCCAUUUUUUUAAGCUUCUGAUAACUGUACAUUAUGCUUAAACAAUGUUAGUUACUUUUCCCUUCCAUCCUGACUGCUCAUUCUUCAGAGAUGGGAAUGUCCUCCAACGUCAUGGCGAUGUCUCUCAGUUUGGGGUCAUCAUCUCGCCAGUUCACUUUACUGGCAAUGAUGAUCCCCUGGAGAAAAUAUCGCAACAUGAUUUUGACAAACAAAAACAGGUGAGACUGGCCUUUCUGCACUUCUCCGCCUCGGAGAGGCUCCCUCUUCAACCUUCUCAUGAGUGAGACGCUUUAAAUCUGCAGAGGAGAAAAAUAAAAUGCAAACGAUUUAAAUAUGUUUGAAGGAGUUUCC
This is a long non-coding RNA of Salvelinus namaycush (lake trout), 983 nucleotides long. RefSeq lists it as uncharacterized. The transcript is spliced from 3 exons. Lineage: Eukaryota; Metazoa; Chordata; Actinopteri; Salmoniformes; Salmonidae. The record is from RefSeq and is a predicted model, not a curated record.